GCCUGCCCAGUGAUAAAAUUCAACGGCCGCGGUACCCUAACCGUGCGAAGGUAGCAUAAUCACUUGUUCUCUAAAUAGGGACUAGUAUCAACGGCACCACGAGGGCUGUACUGUCUCCUUUCUCCCAUCAGUGAAACUGAUCUCCCCGUGAAAAAGCGGGAAUUAUUAUAUAAGACGAGAAGACCCCAUGGAGCUUUAAACUCAUCACCCACUUCCUUACUUCUAUACCCAACCCAUAUAAGGAGCCUGUGUGGUAGUUUUGGGUUGGGGGGACCACGGAGUACAAUUUAACCUCCAUGACAAAUGGGCUACGCCCUUAUCUACGAACUACAACUCUAAGAAUCAUAAGCUGAUGUUUAAUGACCCGAUAUUCGAUCAACGAACCAAGUUACCCUGGGGAUAACAGCGCAAUCUACUUUAAGAGCCCCUAUCGACAAGUAGGUUUACGACCUCGAUGUUGGAUCAGGGCAUCCUGGGGGUGCAGCCGCUCCUAAUGGUUCGUUUGUUCAACGAUUAAAACCCUACGUGAU
This 530-nucleotide ribosomal RNA is filed under the name Nidirana daunchina (Emei music frog). Its description in RNAcentral is "partial 16S ribosomal RNA". It matches the Rfam family "Bacterial large subunit ribosomal RNA", at positions 1857 to 2604 of the family's 2925-position model. Lineage: Eukaryota; Metazoa; Chordata; Amphibia; Anura; Ranidae. The record is from RNAcentral.